GACGAACGCUGGCGGCGUGCUUAACACAUGCAAGUCGAACGGAAAGGCCCUGCUUUUGUGGGGUGCUCGAGUGGCGAACGGGUGAGUAACACGUGAGUAACCUGCCCUUGACUUUGGGAUAACUUCAGGAAACUGGGGCUAAUACCUGAUAGGAGCUCCUGCUGCAUGGUGGGGGUUGGAAAGUUUCGGCGGUUGGGGAUGGACUCGCGGCUUAUCAGCUUGUUGGUGGGGUAGUGGCUUACCAAGGCUUUGACGGGUAGCCGGCCUGAGAGGGUGACCGGCCACAUUGGGACUGAGAUACGGCCCAGACUCCUGCGGGAGGCAGCAGUGGGGAAUAUUGCACAAUGGGCGGAAGCCUGAUGCAGCAACGCCGCGUGCGGGAUGACGGCCUUCGGGUUGUAAACCGCUUUCGCCUGUGACGAAGCGUGAGUGACGGUAAUGGGUAAAGAAGCACCGGCUAACUACGUG
RNAcentral lists this ribosomal RNA (468 nucleotides) under uncultured bacterium. Its description in RNAcentral is "partial 16S ribosomal RNA". It matches the Rfam family "Bacterial small subunit ribosomal RNA", at positions 28 to 507 of the family's 1533-position model. The record is from RNAcentral.